CCAACGGCUCUUUUCAGAGCCAACCUACAUUGUCAAAGAAAAGGCUG
Bos taurus (domestic cattle) is the source of this 47-nucleotide non-coding RNA. NCBI's taxonomy places the organism in Eukaryota, Metazoa, Chordata, Mammalia, Artiodactyla, Bovidae. The record is from Rfam.